This 520-nucleotide unclassified non-coding RNA is filed under the name uncultured Glomus. Its description in RNAcentral is "SSU rRNA". It matches the Rfam family "Eukaryotic small subunit ribosomal RNA", at positions 569 to 1096 of the family's 1831-position model. Lineage: Eukaryota; Fungi; Glomeromycota; Glomeromycetes; Glomerales; Glomeraceae. The record is from RNAcentral.
AGCAGCCGCGGUAAUUCCAGCUCCAAUAGCGUAUAUUAAAGUUGCUGCAGUUAAAAGCUCGUAGUUGAAUUUCGGGAUCAAUAUGUUGGUCGUGCCUCGGUACGUACUAGCUUAUUGGUUUCUUCCUUCUGACGAACCAUAAUGUCAUUUAUUUGGUGUUAUGGGGAAUCAGGACUGUUACUUUGAAAAAUUAGAGUGUUUAAAGCAGGUUCACGCUUAAAUACAUUAGCAUGGAAUAAUGAAAUAGGACGUUUGAUUCUAUUUUGUUGGUUUCUAGGAUCGACGUAAUGAUUAAUAGGGAUAGUUGGGGGCAUUAGUAUUCAAUUGUCAGAGGUGAAAUUCUUGGAUUUAUUGAAGACUAACUACUGCGAAAGCAUUUGCCAAGGAUGUUUUCAUUAAUCAAGAACGAAAGUUAGGGAUCGAAGACGAUCAGAUACCGUCGUAGUCUUAACCAUAAACUAUGCCGACUAGGGAUCGGAUGAUGUUAAUUUUUAAUGACUCAUUCGGCGCCUUACGGGAA